UGGGAUAGGUUAUCCCAGUUUCAGAAAAUAUUCUAUUUCCUUGGGAAAAACACUUUACAUAACUUUAUUGUUUUAGCCUAACCAGUAACCUGGGAUGUCCAAGUCCAUCCUACCCAGUGGGGAGGCUGGGAGUACAACAAAACAUGGAGAAUUUCUGGGAAAGCCCUGGAGAAGAAACAAGGCUCCAGCUUUGCAGGCUUUGGGCUAUCCAGUUGUGGAUGUGGAUUAGGCAGAGCACCUUGGAAGCUGAGCUCAAUGUGGAAUUGGAGCAGUUUUGGAAGCACCAUGGAUACUCCCAAGGUUUGGUGUGAGGAGCUGAAUCUUGGGAGGGAUUGGGAUUUUGUGCUGUUUUGCUUUUGGGUUUUUUUGUUUGGUUGGCUGGGGGUUUUUUAAUUUUUUUUUUUUUUUGGUCAUUUUUUGCCUUUUGGGCCACCACAGAGGAAAAGCUGGAAACCAAACCAACUGAAGGGAAU
This 473-nucleotide long non-coding RNA is filed under the name Cyanistes caeruleus (blue tit). Its description in RNAcentral is "lncRNA (ENSCCEG00000002719.1)". Lineage: Eukaryota; Metazoa; Chordata; Aves; Passeriformes; Paridae. The record is from RNAcentral.